RNAcentral lists this ribosomal RNA (425 nucleotides) under uncultured bacterium. RNAcentral's name for it is "bacterial SSU rRNA". It matches the Rfam family "Bacterial small subunit ribosomal RNA", at positions 354 to 796 of the family's 1533-position model. The record is from RNAcentral.
GUGGUGAAUCUUGCGCAAUGGGCGAAAGCCUGACGCAGCCAUGCCGCGUGAAUGAUGAAGGUCUUAGGAUUGUAAAAUUCUUUCACCGGGGACGAUAAUGACGGUACCCGGAGAAGAAGCCCCGGCUAACUUCGUGCCAGCAGCCGCGGUAAUACGAAGGGGGCUAGCGUUGCUCGGAAUUACUGGGCGUAAAGGGCGCGUAGGCGGACAGUUUAGUCAGAGGUGAAAGCCCAGGGCUCAACCUUGGAAUUGCCUUUGAUACUGGCUGUCUUGAGUACGGGAGAGGUGGGUGGAACUCCGAGUGUAGAGGUGAAAUUCGUAGAUAUUCGGAAGAACACCAGUGGCGAAGGCGACUCACUGGCCCGUUACUGACGCUGAGGCGCGAAAGCGUGGGGAGCAAACAGGAUUAGAAACCCCGGUAGUCC